GCCGGUGUUUUAUUUGAAUGUGUCCUACCUCUUCCCAUUCCGAACAGAGAAGUAAAAGCAUUCAAAUCCGAUGAUACUUAGGGUUAAGUCUCUUUGGAAAGUAGGAUGUGCCGGCA
This 116-nucleotide ribosomal RNA is filed under the name bacterium. The record is from RNAcentral.